AGCGAACGCUGGCGGCGUGCCUAACACAUGCAAGUCGAACGUGAAAGGGAGCAAUCCCAAGUAAAGUGGCGUACGGGUGAGUAACACGUAGGUAAUCUACCCCAGAAUCUGGAAUAACCGGCCGAAAGGCUGGCUAAUACUGGAUAGAGCGACGGAAUCCGUAAUUGGGUUUUUCGGGAAAGGGAGCCUGUAAAAAGGCCUUCGUUCUGGGAUGAGCCUGCGUCCCAUCAGCUAGUUGGUGAGGUAAAAGCUUACCAAGGCAAUGACGGGUAGCUGGUCUGAGAGGACGAUCAGCCACACUGGAACUGAAACACGGUCCAGACUCCUACGGGAGGCAGCAGUGGGGAAUCUUGCGCAAUGGACGAAAGUCUGACGCAGCAACGCCGCGUGAGUGAAGAAGGCCUUCGGGUUGUAAAGCUCUGUCGAGUGGGACGAAAAUGCUUGUAGUUCACAGCUCCAGGAACUGACGGUACCACUAAAGGAAGCACCGGCUAACUCCGUG
RNAcentral lists this ribosomal RNA (502 nucleotides) under uncultured bacterium. Its description in RNAcentral is "partial 16S ribosomal RNA". It matches the Rfam family "Bacterial small subunit ribosomal RNA", at positions 29 to 507 of the family's 1533-position model. The record is from RNAcentral.